RNAcentral lists this ribosomal RNA (253 nucleotides) under uncultured bacterium. RNAcentral's name for it is "partial 16S ribosomal RNA". It matches the Rfam family "Bacterial small subunit ribosomal RNA", at positions 524 to 776 of the family's 1533-position model. The record is from RNAcentral.
UACGGAGGGUGCGAGCGUUAUCCGGAAUUACUGGGUUUAAAGGGUGCGUAGGCGGCUUUGUAAGUCAGGAGUGAAAGUUUGCAGCUCAACUGUAAAAUUGCUUCUGAUACUGCAGAGCUGGAAUCAGGAUGAGGUCAGCGGAAUGUGGCAUGUAGCGGUGAAAUGCAUAGAUAUGCCAUAGAACACCAAUUGCGAAGGCAGUUGGCUAGACCUGUAUCGACGCUGAGGCACGAAAGCGUGGGGAGCGAACAGG